UGGUUCAUAGCUCAAUUGGCAGAGCGCCCGCCUGUUAAGUGGAUGGUUCCAGGUUCGAGUCCUGGUGGGCCAG
RNAcentral lists this transfer RNA (73 nucleotides) under Rhodococcus (subgen. Prescottella) equi. RNAcentral's name for it is "Rhodococcus hoagii tRNA-Asn". It matches the Rfam family "tRNA". From Rfam's summary of the family: Transfer RNA (tRNA) molecules are approximately 80 nucleotides in length. The record is from RNAcentral. Lineage: Bacteria; Bacillati; Actinomycetota; Actinomycetes; Mycobacteriales; Nocardiaceae.